Non-coding RNA from Danio aesculapii, 372 nucleotides. RefSeq annotates it as small Cajal body-specific RNA 2. Lineage: Eukaryota; Metazoa; Chordata; Actinopteri; Cypriniformes; Danionidae. The record is from RefSeq and is a predicted model, not a curated record. The transcript has a single exon.
AAGUCAUUGAGUGAGUGUGUUCCUGCUUGUGUGGUGUGAAUGUGAUCGAGUGCUUGUUUGUGUGUGUGAGCGCAUGAAUGUUUGUGUUUUAUGAAUGUGUGUGUGAGAAUGAGAUGACUCUUAAAAAAACCUACACCGUGAUCUUAUUUGAUCUCAUCCGAGUUGUUGCCCUACUCUGAUGCAGAGAUGAUAAUAACUGACCCGGGAGCUUCUGUAGCGAUGACCGCGAGGCUUUUUUUACUCGGGGCAUCCACAGUGCAAACUGUGGUAAGAAAUGAUGAAUCGAUCAGAUAUACAAGAAAGACAGAGAGCUGGAUCUCGGUCUGGUAUUUCCUGUAUCUUUCACUGAGUAUAACGGCGAUUCUGAUCUCA